GGAUUAGAUACCCUGGUAGUCCACGCCGUAAACGUUGGGCGCUAGGUGUGGGGGCCAUUCCACGGUCUCCGUGCCGCAGCUAACGCAUUAAGCGCCCCGCCUGGGGAGUACGGCCGCAAGGCUAAAACUCAAAGGAAUUGACGGGGGCCCGCACAAGCGGCGGAGCAUGUUGCUUAAUUCGAUGCAACGCGAAGAACCUUACCUAGGCUUGACAUGCACGGAAAUCUGUCAGAGAUGGCAGGUCCUUUAAAGGGUCGUGCACAGGUGGUGCAUGGUUGUCGUCAGCUCGUGCUG
RNAcentral lists this ribosomal RNA (294 nucleotides) under uncultured bacterium. Its description in RNAcentral is "partial 16S ribosomal RNA". It matches the Rfam family "Bacterial small subunit ribosomal RNA", at positions 775 to 1067 of the family's 1533-position model. The record is from RNAcentral.